GCCUUCGUGGUGUAGUGGUUAGCAUGCCAGGCACAUAUUCCAGAGGUCCGUGGUUCGAGUCCCGGCGAAAGCG
Stegodyphus mimosarum is the source of this 73-nucleotide non-coding RNA. NCBI's taxonomy places the organism in Eukaryota, Metazoa, Arthropoda, Arachnida, Araneae, Eresidae. The record is from Rfam.